UUUUGGGGCAAAGACGGAUGAAGGAUGAG
RNAcentral lists this non-coding RNA (29 nucleotides) under Cricetulus griseus (Chinese hamster). The record is from RNAcentral. Lineage: Eukaryota; Metazoa; Chordata; Mammalia; Rodentia; Cricetidae.